UACGUAUGGGGCAAGCGUUAUCCGGAUUUACUGGGUGUAAAGGGAGCGUAGGCGGCAGGGCAAGCCUGAUGUGAAAGCCCGGGGCUCAACCCCGGGACUGCAUUGGGAACUGCCCCGCUCGAGUGCCGGAGGGGCAGGCGGAAUUCCUAGUGUAGCGGUGAAAUGCGUAGAUAUGUGGAAGAACACCAGUGGCGAAAGCGGCUCUCUGGUCUGUAACUGACGCUGAGGUUCGAAAGCGUGGGUAGCAAACAGG
This 253-nucleotide ribosomal RNA is filed under the name uncultured Lachnospiraceae bacterium. RNAcentral describes it as "partial 16S ribosomal RNA". It matches the Rfam family "Bacterial small subunit ribosomal RNA", at positions 524 to 776 of the family's 1533-position model. Lineage: Bacteria; Bacillati; Bacillota; Clostridia; Lachnospirales; Lachnospiraceae. The record is from RNAcentral.